AGAGUUUGAUCAUGGCUCAGAGCGAACGCUGGCGGCAUGCUUAACACAUGCAAGUCGCACGGGCACUUCGGUGUCAGUGGCGGACGGGUGAGUAACGCGUAGGUAUCUAUCCUUGGGUGGGGGAUAACGGCUGGAAACGGCUGCUAAUACCGCAUGAUAACUGAGGUUCAAAGGCGCGAGUCGCCUGGGGAGGAGCCUGCGUACGAUUAGCUAGUUGGUGGGGUAAAGGCCUACCAAGGCUGCGAUCGUUAGCUGGUCUGAGAGGAUGAUCAGCCACAUUGGGACUGAGACACGGCCCAAACUCCUACGGGAGGCAGCAGUGGGGAAUAUUGGACAAUGGGCGAAAGCCUGAUCCAGCAAUGCCGCGUGUGUGAAGAAGGUCUUCGGAUUGUAAAGCACUUUCGACGGGGACGAUGAUGACGGUACCCGUAGAAGAAGCCCCGGCUAACUUCGUGCCAGCAGCCGCGGUAAUACGAAGGGGGCUAGCGUUGCUCGGAAUGACUGGGCGUAAAGGGCGCGUAGGCGGAUGGCACAGUCAGAUGUGAAAUUCCCGGGCUUAACCUGGGGGCUGCAUUUGAUACGUGUGAUCUAGAGUGAGGAAGAGGGUCGUGGAAUUCCCAGUGUAGAGGUGAAAUUCGUAGAUAUUGGGAAGAACACCGGUGGCGAAGGCGGCGACCUGGUCCUUUUACUGACGCUGAGGCGCGAAAGCGUGGGGAGCAAACAGGAUUAGAUACCCCUGUAGUCC
Molecule: ribosomal RNA, 745 nt
Filed under: uncultured bacterium
Lineage: Bacteria
Description: bacterial SSU rRNA
Rfam family: Bacterial small subunit ribosomal RNA
Source: RNAcentral